UGGGAAACUUAGAUUUAGGUUGGAAGCCCUAGUUUGGAGAUUAUAAGCUCAAGAAAUGGCAAACAGAUCAAAAGUUCACUGAAGAUGAACUGACUUUUGACCAAAUAAAAAACCUUUGUGAAAGCAGUGCAAGCUAUCUAGUGGGCUCGAUCAGAGAUUGUGGCACAUCUACAUUAUAUCGCUGGUCCAGGGGAAGAUCGCAACCGAUUAAUUCCUUGAUCUGCCACCUUUGGUUAUGCACAGCAAAGAAGUAGCAAGCCCCACACUGACUCUGGAAAUCUGCCAGUGGGUGGCAAAGGACACGGCUCCCAUUCCUGUAUACCAGUGACAACUGAUCUGGUCACAAAGCUAGUCUAUGAGAAGUAACAGAAGAUAAAGAUGACAAGUGGUAGAAAUCAUGUUGACCUUCUCCUUCAUACACUUGUGACUAACUCAAUAGCGUUUGCUGUAUGAGAAUUCCUAUUGGAACAUGUAAUCUCCAUCACUCUGCCAAAGGAGAUAAACAUCCAAACCAGGUGAGAUCUUCUUAGGCAAAAGACAACCCCAGAAAAAGAUUUAUGCUGGAACCCUAU
This is a long non-coding RNA of Corvus hawaiiensis (hawaiian crow), 572 nucleotides long. RefSeq lists it as uncharacterized. The transcript is spliced from 4 exons. NCBI's taxonomy places the organism in Eukaryota, Metazoa, Chordata, Aves, Passeriformes, Corvidae. The record is from RefSeq and is a predicted model, not a curated record.